This 392-nucleotide ribosomal RNA is filed under the name uncultured bacterium. Its description in RNAcentral is "partial 16S ribosomal RNA". It matches the Rfam family "Bacterial small subunit ribosomal RNA", at positions 523 to 918 of the family's 1533-position model. The record is from RNAcentral.
AUACGGAGGAUCCGAGCGUUAUCCGGAUUUAUUGGGUUUAAAGGGUGCGCAGGCGGCCAUUUAAGUCAGCGGUUAAAUCGUGGGGCUCAACCCCAUCCUGCCGUUGAUACUGGGUGGCUUGAUUGCGGUCGAGGUUGGCGGAAUUCGUUGUGUAGCGGUGAAAUGCAUAGAUAUGACGAAGAACACCGAUUGCGUAGGCAGCUGACCAGACCGCAAAUGACGCUCAUGCACGAAAGUGCGGGGAUCGAACAGGAUUAGAUACCCUGGUAGUCCGCACAGUAAACGAUGAAUACUUGUUUUCGGCGAUAUAAUGUCGGAGGCAAAGCGAAAGCGAUAAGUAUUCCAUCUGGGGAGUACGCCGGCAACGGUGAAACUCAAAUGAAUUGACGGGG